UGGCGGACGGGUGAGUAAUGUCUGGGAAACUGCCCGAUGGAGGGGGAUAACUACUGGAAACGGUAGCUAAUACCGCAUAACGUCGCAAGACCAAAGAGGGGGACCUUCGGGCCUCUUGCCAUCGGAUGUGCCCAGAUGGGAUUAGCUAGUAGGUGGGGUAACGGCUCACCUAGGCGACGAUCCCUAGCUGGUCUGAGAGGAUGACCAGCCACAUGGAACUGAGACACGGUCCAG
RNAcentral lists this ribosomal RNA (234 nucleotides) under uncultured bacterium. RNAcentral describes it as "partial 16S ribosomal RNA". It matches the Rfam family "Bacterial small subunit ribosomal RNA", at positions 96 to 334 of the family's 1533-position model. The record is from RNAcentral.